This 586-nucleotide ribosomal RNA is filed under the name uncultured bacterium. RNAcentral's name for it is "bacterial SSU rRNA". It matches the Rfam family "Bacterial small subunit ribosomal RNA", at positions 334 to 915 of the family's 1533-position model. The record is from RNAcentral.
CGCCCUUACGGGAGGCAGCAGCAAGGUAUUUUCCCCAAUGGGCGCAAGCUUUGUGGAGCUAACGCCGCGUGGUAGGACGACGGCCUUCGGGUUGUAAACUCCUUUCGGGUGGGACGACCACGUCUUUACCACCAGAAGCAGCCCCUUCUAACUCUGUGCCAGCAGCCGCGGUAAGACAGAGUGUGCAAGCGUUGUCCGGUGUUACUGGGCAUAAAGGAUGCGCGGAGGCGGUCUUCGGCGUCGGCUGCUGAAAGGCCCGCUUUAACGGGGCGAGGCGUGCCGAUACGUGCAGACUCGAGGCGAGCAGAGGGUGGCGGAAUUCCGGGGGGAGCGGUGAAAUGCGUAGAGAUCCGGAGAACGCCAGUGGGGAAGCCGGCCACCUGGGCUCGACCUGACGGUGCGGCGGCGACAGGUGUGGGGAGCAAACCCGGAUUAGAUACCCGGGUAGUCCAAGCCGUAAAGCGAUGCCAGUGUCCGGCGUGUUGGGGACGGGCGUGCGCUGAGGUGUCCUUAGACUCACGCGAAUAAUGUGGCCGCCUGUGUGGACUACGAGCUGCAAGUUUAAAAACCCAAAGUGAAAUGUAUC